This 55-nucleotide ribosomal RNA is filed under the name Pseudopyrenochaeta lycopersici. RNAcentral describes it as "partial 26S ribosomal RNA". Lineage: Eukaryota; Fungi; Ascomycota; Dothideomycetes; Pleosporales; Pseudopyrenochaetaceae. The record is from RNAcentral.
UGACCUCGGAUCAGGUAGGGAUACCCGCUGAAUUAGCAUAUCAAUAAGCGGAGGA